UACGUAGGGUGCAAGCGUUGUCCGGAAUUAUUGGGCGUAAAGAGCUCGUAGGCGGUUUGUUGCGUCGGCUGUGAAAUCCCGAGGCUCAACCUCGGGUCUGCAGUCGAUACGAGCAAACUAGAGUGUUGCAGGGGAGACUGGAAUUCCUGGUGUAGCGGUGAAAUGCGCAGAUAUCAGGAGGAACACCGGUGGCGAAGGCGGCAUCCUGGACCGAUACUGACGCUGAGGAGCGAAAGCCAGGGGAGCAAACGGG
This 253-nucleotide ribosomal RNA is filed under the name uncultured bacterium. RNAcentral's name for it is "partial 16S ribosomal RNA". It matches the Rfam family "Bacterial small subunit ribosomal RNA", at positions 524 to 776 of the family's 1533-position model. The record is from RNAcentral.